RNAcentral lists this ribosomal RNA (673 nucleotides) under uncultured rumen archaeon. RNAcentral describes it as "bacterial SSU rRNA". It matches the Rfam family "Archaeal small subunit ribosomal RNA", at positions 1 to 654 of the family's 1478-position model. The record is from RNAcentral.
GGCGGCCGCGAUCUACUAGUGAUUUCUGUUUGAUCCUGGCGGAGGCUACUGCUAUUGGGAUUCGAUUAUUCCCUGCAAGUUGAAUGAAUUUAGAUUCAUGGCGUACGGCUCAGUAACACGUGGAUAACUUACCCUUAGGACUGGGAUAACUCUGGGAAACUGGGGAUAAUACCGGAUAUUAGGCUAUGUCUGCAAUGGUUUGCCUUUGAAAUGUUUUUUUUCGCCUAAGGAUAGAUCUGCGGCUGAUUAGGUCGUUGGUGGGGUAAUGGCCCACCAAGCCGAUGAUCGGUACGGGUUGUGAGAGCAAGGGCCCGGAGAUGGAACCUGAGACAAGGUUCCAGACCCUACGGGGUGCAGCAGGCGCGAAACCUCCGCAAUGUACGAAAGUGCGACGGGGGGAUCCCAAGUGUUAUGCUUAAAGGUAUGACUUUUCAUUAGUGUAAAAAGCUUUUAGAAUAAGAGCUGGGCAAGACCGGUGCCAGCCGCCGCGGUAACACCGGCAGCUCGAGUGGUAGCUGUUUUUAUAUUGGGCCUAAAGCGUUCGUAGCCGGUUUAAUAAGUCUUUGGUGAAAGCUUGUAGCUAACCUUUAGAAAUUGCUGGAGAUACUAUUAACCUUAAGUCGGGAGAGGUUAGAGUACUACCGGGGUAGGGGUGAAUCCUAUAUCCUGUGAG